Molecule: ribosomal RNA, 253 nt
Filed under: uncultured bacterium
Lineage: Bacteria
Description: partial 16S ribosomal RNA
Rfam family: Bacterial small subunit ribosomal RNA
Source: RNAcentral
UACGAAGGGGGCUAGCGUUGCUCGGAAUCACUGGGCGUAAAGGGUGCGUAGGCGGGUCUUUAAGUCAGGGGUGAAAUCCUGGAGCUCGACUCCAGAACUGCCUUUGAUACUGAAGAUCUUGAGUUCGGGAGAGGUGAGUGGAACUGCGAGUGUAGAGGUGAAAUUCGUAGAUAUUCGCAAGAACACCAGUGGCGAAGGCGGCUCACUGGCCCGAUACUGACGCUGAUGCACGAAAGCGUGGGGAGCAAACAGG